RNAcentral lists this ribosomal RNA (253 nucleotides) under uncultured bacterium. RNAcentral's name for it is "partial 16S ribosomal RNA". It matches the Rfam family "Bacterial small subunit ribosomal RNA", at positions 524 to 776 of the family's 1533-position model. The record is from RNAcentral.
CAAGGAGGGUGCAAGCGUUAUUCGGAAUCACUGGGCGUAAAGCGCGCGUAGGCGGUCUCUUAAGUCAGAUGUGAAAGCCCGGGGCUCAACCCCGGAAGUGCAUUUGAAACUAAGGGACUUGAGUAUGGGAGAGGGAAGUGGAAUUCCUGGUGUAGCGGUGAAAUGCGUAGAUAUCAGGAGGAACACCGGUGGCGAUGGCGACUUCCUGGACCAAUACUGACGCUGAGGCGCGAAGGCGUGGGGAGCAAACAGG